RNAcentral lists this ribosomal RNA (487 nucleotides) under uncultured Aeromonas sp. RNAcentral describes it as "bacterial SSU rRNA". It matches the Rfam family "Bacterial small subunit ribosomal RNA", at positions 29 to 507 of the family's 1533-position model. The record is from RNAcentral. Lineage: Bacteria; Pseudomonadati; Pseudomonadota; Gammaproteobacteria; Aeromonadales; Aeromonadaceae.
AUGAACGCUGCGGCAGGCUAACACAUGCAAGUCGAGCGGCAGCGGGAAAGUAGCUUGCUACUUUUGCCGGCGAGCGGCGGACGGGUGAGUAAUGCCUGGGAAAUUGCCCAGUCGAGGGGAUAACAGUUGGAAACGACUGCUAAUACCGCAUACGCCCUACGGGGAAAGCAGGGGACCUUCGGGCCUUGCGCGAUUGGAUAUGCCCAGGUGGGAUUAGCUAGUUGGUGAGGUAAUGGCUCACCAAGGCGACGAUCCCUAGCUGGUCUGAGAGGAUGAUCAGCCACACUGGAACUGAGACACGGUCCAGACUCCUACGGGAGGCAGCAGUGGGGAAUAUUGCACAAUGGGGGAAACCCUGAUGCAGCCAUGCCGCGUGUGUGAAGAAGGCCUUCGGGUUGUAAAGCACUUUCAGCGAGGAGGAAAGGUUGUUGGCUAAUACCCAACAGCUGUGACGUUACUCGCAGAAGAAGCACCGGCUAACUCCGUG